AACCUAGAACCCCAAGCGAUGGAAAAAGUAAUAUGGUCAUCUUUUGCCUCUUUUUCCAGCAUUUGGAGAACGCCAGAGGAUGCAUUCAGCUGACGACAAGGGGUUCUGUAAUGCAUUUCCUUCGUGGGUCGUGGAAUGGGACCUACGCGAGCAGCUGUGGGUAUAUGUGCAGUCCGGCCUUCCCUUUCAGCAAAUUUCAACAACUGAAAGAACAGACAGUCAUCUCUGGCAGCCAUGAUGGGUCAGAAGAGGCAGACUGCACUGGAAGAGUCCUUUGUGCGGAAACGUGGUUUGCAGUGCUUGUUAGACACAUCUGGCAUGAGAAAGGCCUCUGAUAUGCGGGCUCACUGAGAGAUCCAAAAGAUAGCUCAAGUCUCAAAGAUAGUUGGGGCAUCCUAGCCAUGUCAGCCUCAUCAGAGAAGUUAAUCAGCCCCUGACGGACAGCUACUUUGGCCUAUGCCCCCCUCCCUGCCUGGGGUUACCUCAGGCGGACGGGAGUGCCACUCAGGAAGCGCUCUUGGGAGCCAAGGCGUCAACGGCAGCCAUCAGCAGAGGGAGCCCAGCGUCCCUGGAUGCUGCCCAGCCGAGGGCCCGCAGAGCGGCCGUGAGAAGGCAGCCUGUGCUUCUGUGGAUGAAGGAGACAGAGCCAGGAGAAACUGGUUACUGAGAAGAACGGUGCGUGGAGAAUUAUUAAGAAGUGGAGGAAGUCCGACUCACGCGUUAGUCACCUUUGGCGAUGACUGGAUGCGAGCGACAGAGAAAGAGUGUGGCACGAAGGGGACCGGCAGCUCACUGCACGGCAACACGCAUCUCUUCGUCACUGCCUCACUGUAUGCAGUACAUAUGACACCCACCCAUAAGGGGUCAUUGUGGCUCUGUGCUGAGCCCUGAAAGAAUGAUGAGCUAUUUUCUUGGGGAAUGUCAAGCAAAAAAAUUUUUUACUGAUGCCCCUGAUCUGCCCACGUUACGGGGGCAUGCUUGCGCUUGCUUCAUGCCUCACCAGUAAGGGGGUUCUGAGUCCAGACCUUCUGCUCUUGUGUGGAUGGCUUCCCAGUGAGUGUUCUGGUUUCCAGCUCACACUGUAUGUUAAAAUAUAUUCGCAUACAAGGUAUCUAUGUAACAGGACCAUCGU
Molecule: long non-coding RNA, 1132 nt
Organism: Paramormyrops kingsleyae
Lineage: Eukaryota; Metazoa; Chordata; Actinopteri; Osteoglossiformes; Mormyridae
Source: RefSeq, a predicted model, not a curated record